Molecule: ribosomal RNA, 372 nt
Filed under: uncultured bacterium
Lineage: Bacteria
Description: partial 16S ribosomal RNA
Rfam family: Bacterial small subunit ribosomal RNA
Source: RNAcentral
CCUACGGGAGGCAGCAGUGGGGAAUAUUGGUCAAUGGGCGCGAGCCUGAUCCAGCCAAGUAGCGUGAAGGAUGACUGCCCUACGGGUUGUAAACUUCUUUUAUAAAGGAAUAAAGUGAGGCACGUGUGCCUUUUUGUAUGUACUUUAUGAAUAAGGAUCGGCUAACUCCGUGCCUGCAGCCGCCGUAAUACGUAGGAUCCGAGCGUUAUCCGGAUUUGUUGGGUUUAAAGGGAGCGUAGAUGGGUUGUUAAGUCAGUUGUGAAAGUUUGCGGCUCAACCGUAAAAUUGCAAUUGAUACUGGCAGUCUUGAGUAAAGUUGAGGGAGGCGGAAUUCGUGGUGUAGCAGUGAAAUGCUUAGAUAGCACGAAGAAC